This 330-nucleotide ribosomal RNA is filed under the name Triticum aestivum (bread wheat). RNAcentral describes it as "partial small subunit ribosomal RNA". Lineage: Eukaryota; Viridiplantae; Streptophyta; Magnoliopsida; Poales; Poaceae. The record is from RNAcentral.
AUGAAAAAGUUUUUAUAUGAAAAAUCAUCUACUCGAAAAGUUACAUCCGAAUUUAACCAGGGGAACCCCGUUAAACAUUUUCAAAAUCCUCAAAAACCUAACAGAAAAAAAGAAACGGGGCUUUUAAGAUCUGGAGAGGCAAAAGAUUUCAAAAAAUUUCAAAUUGUGGUCAAACUUUGGUCAAACAAUGGUCAAACUAAUUAUUCUAGAAUAUUAGUGUUACUAAAUAAUUAUUUCAGUUUUUUUAAAUUUUGGUCAAAUCUGGUCAAACUGUGGUCAAACAGUGGUCAAACAAUGGUCAAAUUAAAAAAUAUUAGUGUUACUAAAUAA